Non-coding RNA from Macaca mulatta (Rhesus monkey), 2762 nucleotides. Lineage: Eukaryota; Metazoa; Chordata; Mammalia; Primates; Cercopithecidae. The record is from RefSeq and is a predicted model, not a curated record.
GUUCUGGGGGGGUGUGACGGUGCCACUGCAGUUUUGUUCUCAUGUCUUGAUGAGCAUGAGCGGCUCCUGACGAGGGUGGGUAAGGAUGCUGGGACCGGAGACGCUGCAGGAUUGUAGCUUCAGGAACAAAGGAGGUUUUCUCUCUUGCAAACCCUUCAGGGAGGAAGUUCCAGGCUGGUGACUACUCCAUGAGGUAUUUGGGGAUCCAAGUUCCUUCCAGACCCCUGCUUUGCGUUCCCAAGGACACGGCUGUCCUUGCUGUGGUUGGGACUGGAUUUGGAUGAGUUGCUUUCUGCAUAACACACCUGGACAGACGGAGGCUGGUUCUCCACAAUGGCACCAGGGACUUGGCGGAGACUGGCGGGACAGAGGCACAGCACCAGCUCCCUGGGAGAAGGCAGUGCCUGUGGGAUGGAGGAAAGAAGAGGCACACAGUGCUGAGGUGUGAACUCUAGUUUGCUCUUAGACAUGACACACAUGCUUUCUGGAGGUUUCCACGAAGCACCGUUAAAGCCACCAGUGUGGACAGGUCCUAAGAUCAGGAGACCCAGAACAUACGUGUAUUUGAAAUCCUUCAUGUGCUGCAAUCUCUUCAAAGAGGACCACAAGUCAUCUCUAAUAAUGUUGUCAAAUUAAUUUUUUAAUAAGUGCCAUGGCUUUUUUUUGUGUGUGUGGGGUAGGGCUGGUCUGUGACAGUAAAACAUGCAGUGGCACAGCUGGUGGGUGUUGGUUCUGGGCCCCAGUUAGGCAGUUGUAUGAAAACAAACCAAAAAGUCUCCACAGUGGUAUGAACCGAAACAACUGGAUUACGUGUUUUCAUGUAUUUAACAUAAAUGCACACAUUUGUAUUCUAAACACACAUUUUUCUAUAUGUAAUAAAAUUCACACCUUUAAGUAUUUAGCAUAGAAACAGCUGUGCAGCAUCUUCUCCAUGCCCGCAGACACCCGGAUGUUCUGAGUGGAAACCGCACUGCUGUGGACUUUGUGAGUGGUGAGCCGUGCACAGAUAUGUGCUGUGUUUGCUGUGUCCGCUGACGCAAGCCCUGGUCAGUCCUGUUUCAGGUGGAUGUUUUCCCUUGUAGUUCCCUUCUCUUGUUCUGUUUGUAAGUUCAGUAAACUCGGGACCAAUGGUGAGAGUAGGCGUAGAGGAGCACGGUGUCGGCAAUUAAGGAAAAUCCACCCCAGACCUUGCAGAAGGAGGAGGCGUGUGGAGUUCCGAUGCCUGUGUGAGCCAUGACUGGUGAGGGCCUCUGGGUAGCAGCUCAUCUGGGCUACUUGGAAAUGCAGAUUCCUGGGCACAGACCUGAGAGGCCGUGGAGUGACCACCCUCCAGGGAUUCCGCCCAAACUUGGCCAUCUUGUCUUUUGGCAGAUCACCCGUGCCCAGCUGUCUCAUUGAGAUGCCCGGCUAUCACAGUUAUCUGCACAGCUGGUGUGGGUGUGCCGAUGGGUGUACGGGACUGGCCUGUCUUCCUUUCUCCCCCUGUGAAGUGUUUGAAGGUCUGUUAUCCUACCCUGUUCUCUCCCUGUCCUCAGUGGGCAAGCAGGAGGUUCAUUUUCACUUGCAGAUGAGGAAAAUUCUAAAAGUCUCAUAAAGCAGGGAGGAUCAUCUUCAGAAUCUUCUUUGUUCCAAUCAGCUCUGAUAUUUUCAGUUGGAAAGACUUUUCCUCAAACACUUUGCAUUCGUUCUGUAUGAGAAGUGCUGUAGACUUUCCUGUUGUUUUAGUAAUUAGGAUCUGUUCUGUUGUCCAUUACAAACGUAUAUAUUUUCAUUCUGAGACACGCUGAGUCAGUCUUUGCAGUCCAGAGGGAUUUCAUGUGCAUUCAUAGAAGCUUCCAUCAGAAACCACAUGCCAAAUAGCUGUGGACAUACAACCUGCUUGUGACUUUGGGAAUUGCCAAAGUCAAAUUCUCUCUCGAUUUGAGGCUUUAGGAGCUUUAGAAAUCUUGAAAUUAUAAAACGAACAUGUGACAAAAUUAAGUGUAUGUCAAACAAAAGAGAUACUAUACUGCGGGUUUUAAGGGCUGUGGUACAUUAUUUGGUUAUCUUUAAGGAUGUCGUGUUCCACCCAAGUUACAAAUACAUGAAAUUUAAAUAUAAGGUGACCCCUUCAGAACAUCCUGGAUUUGGUCUUGAUCUUCUGCCCUUGAAAAUGAGAUUCUUUUUUUUUUCUUGAAAAUGUAAUUCUUUUUUUUUUUCUUGAAAAUGUGAUGGUCUUAAACUGUGUGUCUAGACCAUCUCAUCUGAAUUGCUUUGGAAACAUCUGCACGGGCAUCUUUCUAUUCUUGGGUAUAGAGAGAAUGACAUCAUUAUGCUUUAAAAUAGCAAAAGUCCCGUAGAGCAGUUUUUCUUAAACUAAUGAGCUAUUGUUGGAAAUCAAGGUGUGUAGCAAGUUAUAGAAUCUCUCAGUGAAAGUGAUUAUUUAAAAUAGAAAUCUUAGUUUUUAAAAUAAAAUGCUAAUAGAGAACCUUUUGUUCACAAGAAUCUAAAAUGUUACGUCUUUGUUUAGAAUUUAAGGAUAGUAAUUUGCUUCUGAGAUCUUUGUGACUGAGAUUUGAAAUCUUAACUACGGUUUAUCAAUGUUUUAUAUAUAUGCAUGUAUGGAUAUAUAUAUGUAAGGUAUAUAAAAUGAAAAUAAGCAUGCAUGUAUUUACAUUUAUAUACCCUUCUAUAAUGUGUAUACUUCUAGUCACACAGAGGUCUAAGUGACUAUGACUUUAUUUGAUGACCAAGAGGAUAAUUAAAUAAUUUUCCUGCUCUUA